CGAAUCCGCUAAGGAGUGUGUAACAACUCACCUGCCGAAUGAAUUAGCCCUGAAAAUGGAUGGCGCUGAAGCGGGUGGCCGACACCACGCCGUGUGACCGAGUUUUUGAUGUCACAUGAGUAGGAGGGCGUGGCGGGCGUGGAGAAGCAUGGGCGCGAGCCUGUGUGAAACGGUCCGCUAGUGCAGAUCUUGGUGGUAGUAGCAAGUAUUCAAGCGAGAACCUUGAAGGGCGAAGCGGGGAAGGGUUCCACGCGAACAUUGAUUGGGCGUGGGUGAGUCGUUCCUAAGUCGAGUGGCAAUUGCUAAGUAGCGGCGAAAGGGAAGCGGGUUGAAAUUCCCGCACACGGGUGUGGAGUGCGGUGACGCAAAAUGGGGCGAACACGCUGGCGACGGCGCUGGGCAGAGUUGUCUUUUCUGUUUGACCGAGUGUGCGGGCUGUGUGGAAUCCGCUUGUCGGGAGAAACACGCUCGCACGGGCAGAGCGCCGGGGCUUUUCCGGCGUCCAGCUCGCCGUCGACGGCCCUUGAAACUUUGCCUGCUGAUUUAAGAUCCACGCCGUGGCGUACCGAUCACCGCAUCAGGUCCCCGAGGUGAACAGCCUCUGCUCGAUAUGAACAAUGCAGGUAAGGGAAGUCGGCAAAUUGGACCCGUAACUUUGGGAAAAGGGUUGGCUCUAGUGCUGCGUGGGAGAGGUUGUCUGUGUGUGGGGGCGGAGUGAGGGCCGGCUCGGCGCGGUUUAGCCUCGCAAGGGGAUUUACUGUUCUGCGCUGCUCACGCUCUGUUUCCGCCGCGGACGACGCCCACGGCAUGCAGCAGACUAGAACUGCAACGGGCAAAGGGAAUCCGACUGUUUAAUUAAAACAAAGCAUUGAGAAGGCCGUGGGCGGUGAUGACUCAAUG
This 900-nucleotide ribosomal RNA is filed under the name Agissea distenta. Its description in RNAcentral is "LSU rRNA". It matches the Rfam family "Eukaryotic large subunit ribosomal RNA", at positions 1263 to 2191 of the family's 3401-position model. Lineage: Eukaryota; Rhodophyta; Florideophyceae; Peyssonneliales; Peyssonneliaceae. The record is from RNAcentral.